This 244-nucleotide long non-coding RNA is filed under the name Cicer arietinum (chickpea). Its description in RNAcentral is "long non-coding RNA (CARI_LNC003597)". Lineage: Eukaryota; Viridiplantae; Streptophyta; Magnoliopsida; Fabales; Fabaceae. The record is from RNAcentral.
UGUAACAUACGGUUGAACCUCAUCAUCAUUGUGCAGAACAUACAAUUGUGCCUGCUCCCAUUCUGUCCUUGAUAUAGUCAGUAGUCUCCUUCCAAUUAUCCCUUCUCCUGAUAUUCUUCCCGAAUGACGAGACAUGGGAAGCCCUAUGGAUUCAACAUUGGACAGAUAUUCAGUACAAAAUUCAGCAGCCUCUUCAACAAUGUAUCGUUCAGCAAUACAACCUUCUGGUCGACUUCUACUUUUU